RNAcentral lists this ribosomal RNA (402 nucleotides) under Stevenia sp. n. 15 AT-2015. RNAcentral's name for it is "partial small subunit ribosomal RNA". The record is from RNAcentral. Lineage: Eukaryota; Metazoa; Arthropoda; Insecta; Diptera; Rhinophoridae.
UCUGGGAUUAGAUACCCUGUUAUUUUAAAUGUAAUUAUAGGAACUAAGGUAGUAUUAGAUAUGUUCUUUAAACUUAAAAAAUUUGGCGGUAUUUUAGUCUAUUCAGAGGAACCUGUUUUAUAAUUGAUAAUCCACGAUGGACCUUACUUAAAUUUGUUAAUCAGUUUAUAUACCGUUGUUAUUAGAAUAUUUUAUAAGAAAGUUAAUUUUCAUAAUUUUUUUAAAAAAAAUAUAUCAAAUCAAGGUGUAGCUUAUAUUUAAGUAUAAAUGGGUUACAAUAAAUUUAUUUAAGCGAAUAUAAAUUUGAAAUAUUUAUUGAAGAUGGAUUUGAUAGUAAAAUUAUAAAGAUAAAUAAUUUGAUUUUAGCUCUAAAAUAUGUACAAAUCGCCCGUCACUCUCUGA